AGUGAACGCUGGCGGUAGGCCUAACACAUGCAAGUCGAACGGCAGCACAGGAGAGCUUGCUCUCUGGGUGGCGAGUGGCGGACGGGUGAGGAAUACAUCGGAAUCUACUUUUUCGUGGGGGAUAACGUAGGGAAACUUACGCUAAUACCGCAUACGACCAACGGGUGAAAGCAGGGGACCUUCGGGCCUUGCGCGAUUGACUGAGCCGAUGUCGGAUUAGCUAUUUGGCGGGGUAAAGGCCCACCAAGGCGACGAUCCGUAGCUGGUCUGAGAGGAUGAUCAGCCACACUGGAACUGAGACACGGUCCAGACUCCUACGGGAGGCAGCAGUGGGGAAUAUUGGACAAUGGGCGCAAGCCUGAUCCAGCCAUACCGCGUGGGUGAAGAAGGCCUUCGGGUUGUAAAGCCCUUUUGUUGGGAAAGAAAUCCAGCUGGCUAAUACCCGGUUGGGAUGACGGUACCCAAAGAAUAAGCACCGGCUAACUUCGUGCCAGCAGCCGCGGUAA
Molecule: ribosomal RNA, 506 nt
Filed under: uncultured bacterium
Lineage: Bacteria
Description: partial 16S ribosomal RNA
Rfam family: Bacterial small subunit ribosomal RNA
Source: RNAcentral